This 93-nucleotide non-coding RNA is filed under the name Microbacterium pygmaeum. Its description in RNAcentral is "Glycine sequence". It matches the Rfam family "Glycine riboswitch aptamer". From Rfam's summary of the family: This family represents the bacterial glycine riboswitch. Glycine riboswitches usually consist of two metabolite-binding aptamers domains with similar structures in tandem. Lineage: Bacteria; Bacillati; Actinomycetota; Actinomycetes; Micrococcales; Microbacteriaceae. The record is from Rfam by way of RNAcentral.
ACGAUCCGGUCGGGAGAGCCUCGGCGCACGCCGAGCACCGAAGGAGCAAGCCUCCCCGCCAAUCUCUCAGGUAUCGCGUACCGCCCGGAUCCG